GCGUUGCUGAGGAGUCCCACAAUAGGACGAAACGACAGUCGAGUGC
RNAcentral lists this non-coding RNA (46 nucleotides) under Schistosoma margrebowiei. The record is from RNAcentral. Lineage: Eukaryota; Metazoa; Platyhelminthes; Trematoda; Strigeidida; Schistosomatidae.